CGCAUAACAACUUGGACCGCAUGGUCCGAGUUUGAAAGAUGGCUUCGGCUAUCACUUUUGGAUGGUCCCGCGGCGUAUUAGCUAGAUGGUGGGGUAACGGCUCACCAUGGCAAUGAUACGUAGCCGACCUGAGAGGGUAAUCGGCCACAUUGGGACUGAGACACGGCCCAAACUCCUACGGGAGGCAGCAGUAGGGAAUCUUCCACAAUGGACGAAAGUCUGAUGGAGCAACGCCGCGUGAGUGAAGAAGGGUUUCGGCUCGUAAAACUCUGUUGUUAAAGAAGAACAUAUCUGAGAGUAACUGUUCAGGUAUUGACGGUAUUUAACCAGAAAGCCACGGCUAACUACGUGCCAGCAGCCGCGGUAAUACGUAGGUGGCAAGCGUUGUCCGGAUUUAUUGGGCGUAAAGCGAGCGCAGGCGGUUUUUUAAGUCUGAUGUGAAAGCCUUCGGCUCAACCGAAGAAGUGCAUCGGAAACUGGGAAACUUGAGUGCAGAAGAGGACAGUGGAACUCCAUGUGUAGCGGUGAAAUGCGUAGAUAUAUGGAAGAACACCAGUGGCGAAGGCGGCUGUCUGGUCUGUAACUGACGCUGAGGCUCGAAAGUAUGGGUAGCAAACAGGAUUAGAUACCCUGGUAGUCCAUACCGUAAACGAUGAAUGCUAAGUGUUGGAGGGUUUCCGCCCCUUCAGUGCUGCAGCUAACGCAUUAAGCAUU
RNAcentral lists this ribosomal RNA (714 nucleotides) under Lactiplantibacillus plantarum. Its description in RNAcentral is "bacterial SSU rRNA". It matches the Rfam family "Bacterial small subunit ribosomal RNA", at positions 170 to 868 of the family's 1533-position model. The record is from RNAcentral. Lineage: Bacteria; Bacillati; Bacillota; Bacilli; Lactobacillales; Lactobacillaceae.